GAGUUUGAUCCUGGCUCAGAUUGAACGCUGGCGGCAGGCCUAACACAUGCAAGUCGAACGGUAGCACAGAGGAGCUUGCUCCUUGGGUGACGAGUGGCGGACGGGUGAGUAAUGUCUGGGAAACUGCCCGAUGGAGGGGGAUAACYACYSGAAACGGUAGCUAAUACCGCMUAACGUCGCAAGACCAAAGAGGGGGACCUUCGGGCSUCUUGCCAUCGGAUGUGCCCAGAUGGGAUUAGYUAGUAGGKGGGGUAACGGCUCACCUAGGCGACGAUCCCUAGCUGGUMUGAGAGGAUGACCAGCCACACKGGAAMUGAGACACGGUCCAGACUCCUACGGGAGGCAGCAGUGGGGAAUAUUGCACAAUGGGCGCAAGCCUGAUGCAGCCRUGCCGCGU
This 397-nucleotide ribosomal RNA is filed under the name Citrobacter sp. Lw2-3. Its description in RNAcentral is "partial 16S ribosomal RNA". It matches the Rfam family "Bacterial small subunit ribosomal RNA", at positions 9 to 402 of the family's 1533-position model. The record is from RNAcentral. Lineage: Bacteria; Pseudomonadati; Pseudomonadota; Gammaproteobacteria; Enterobacterales; Enterobacteriaceae.